AUUGAACGCUGGCGGCAUGCCUUACACAUGCAAGUCGAACGGUAACAGGUUAAGCUGACGAGUGGCGAACGGGUGAGUAAUGUAUCGGAACGUGCCCAGUCGUGGGGGAUAACGUAGCGAAAGCUACGCUAAUACCGCAUACGAUCUACGGAUGAAAGCGGGGGAUCGCAAGACCUCGCGCGAUUGGAGCGGCCGAUAUCAGAUUAGGUUGUUGGUGAGGUAAAAGCUCACCAAGCCUGCGAUCUGUAGCUGGUCUGAGAGGACGACUAGCCACACUGGAGCGGAGCCACGGUCCAGACUCCUACGGGAGGCAGCAGUGGGGAAUUUUGGACAAUGGACGAAAGUCUGAUCCAGCAAUGCCGCGUGCAGGACGAAGGCCUUCGGGUUGUAAACUGCUUUUGUACGGAACGAAACGGUGAGCUCUAAUACAGUUUGCUAAUGACGGUACCGUAAGAAUAAGCACCGGCUAACUACGUGCCAGCCGCCGCAGUAA
This 493-nucleotide ribosomal RNA is filed under the name uncultured bacterium. RNAcentral describes it as "partial 16S ribosomal RNA". It matches the Rfam family "Bacterial small subunit ribosomal RNA", at positions 30 to 523 of the family's 1533-position model. The record is from RNAcentral.